This 538-nucleotide ribosomal RNA is filed under the name Minervarya syhadrensis. RNAcentral describes it as "partial 16S ribosomal RNA". It matches the Rfam family "Bacterial large subunit ribosomal RNA", at positions 1920 to 2617 of the family's 2925-position model. Lineage: Eukaryota; Metazoa; Chordata; Amphibia; Anura; Dicroglossidae. The record is from RNAcentral.
AAUUUUAACGGCCGCGGUACCCUCUCCCGUGCGAAGGUAGCAUAAUCACUUGUUCUUUAAAUGAGGACUACUAUCAACGGCAUCACGAGGAUUUUACUGUCUCCUUUUUCCUAUCGGUGAAACUGAUCUCCCCGUGAAGAAGCGGGGAUAAUAUUAUAAGACGAGAAGACCCCAUGGAGCUUUAAACCCAGUAACACCUCAAACACACCCCCUCCCAAAAAGUUUUAAUGUUCUGUUCACUGGUUUUAGGUUGGGGCGACCGCGGAGUACAACUUAACCUCCACAGCGCACGGAACUUAUUCCUUACCUGAGAGCUACACCUCAAAGAAUUAUCACAUUAACGUAAANUGAUCCAAUAUUUUCCUUAUUGAUUAAUGAACCAAGGUUACCCUGGGGAUUACAGCGCAAUCCAUUUCUAGAGCCCCUAUCGACAAAUGGGUUUCCACCCCCGAUGUUGGAUCAGGGUAUCCCCAUGGAGCAGCCGCUACUAAUGGUUUGUUGGUUCAACAAUUAAACCCUACGUGACCUGGUUCAACCC